This is a long non-coding RNA of Rhincodon typus (whale shark), 1126 nucleotides long. RefSeq lists it as uncharacterized. The transcript has 7 exons. Lineage: Eukaryota; Metazoa; Chordata; Chondrichthyes; Orectolobiformes; Rhincodontidae. The record is from RefSeq and is a predicted model, not a curated record.
UUUGCGCGGGCCGGGUCACCAGUGGCUUUGCCGGGGGAAGGGGAGAGGGAGAAGGAGAGGGGAAGGCAGACGUUUGCAUGGCAGUGAACGUUUGGCUGUGUUCAGCCUGACGUCCUCCUCGGCACUCACCAAGCAAGUCGCUGCAGUUGUUUUUUUUAUUAUUAUAUAUAAAUAUAUAAAAAAAAAAUCUUCCUGGGACCUAUUAUUUCCCGGCGUCCUGCAAGCCGCUAUCUAUCUCAGUCUUUUCAGCUGGCACGGAUGCGGAGUUUUUUAUAUCCAGAAAUUUCCACUAUAACCGCCUUUUUAAAGCCUUAACCUCCAGAGAGAGAGAGAGAGAGAGGAGGACAGGGGGAAGGGAAGGAACAACAACAGGAGGCCGCCCAGCAACCAGGAGGAGGAGGAGGCCGAGUGUCUGCGGUUCCUGAUGCUGUGUAAAAUUUUGGAAAUCCAUUCCAAUAGAGGAUUGUGAGUGGACCUACACCCGUUGGACUGUAUUGUUCAAGAAGCUGGUUUACCAUUGCCACCUUGAAGGCAAUCAGACAUGGAUAAUGGAUGCUGAUCCUGCUAGAAGCACCCACCCUCUACCAAUGAAUGAUGUAUAAUAAGAAAAAUUGGGUUGCUUCCUGGCAGGUUGUUAAGCUGUUCUCCCUGUGGGUGCUGCAGAAUUGUUUAGUACUGACAUCAUUACACCCUUUGCUGAAUCAGAGAUUUUGCAGUUCUUGAAGCUGAGCUUAUAAAACGUGGUUUUGCUUCAUACAUGCAAGACUGAUGUCCAGCCUUUGGUCAGCUUUACCACAUGCCUAGUGACCGAAGGUGACGUGAAACAUACAUCCUUAAUUUUGUCCGGAGUCUUCAGAAUGUGUUGCUAGCCUAUUCAUGAAAGGCUUACGCUGUAAUGACCUGAUGUUUAAGUGGGACUGAAGAUGAGUAUUAGCAGUGAUGAGGUCAACUUUCUGGUAUAUAGAUAUUUGCAAGAGUCUGGUUUUUCCCAUUCAGCAUUCACAUUUGGUAUAGAGAGUCACAUCAGUCAGUCCAAUAUUAAUGGUGCCCUCGUGCCACCAGCAGCUCUCAUCUCGAUCAUACAGAAAGGUUUGCAGUAUGUGGAGGCCGAAGUCAGUAUCAAUGA